GUUAGUGGCGAAAGGGUGAGGAAUAGAUAGGAACGUACCCUGUGCUCUGGGAGAGCGGGUGAAGCUUCGGCUUCUUCCGAAAGGGGCGGUAAUACCAGAUAAUGUCCUUCGGGACCAAAGAUUUAUCGGCAUUGGAGCGGCCUAUCUCCUAUCAGCUUGUUGGUGAGGUAACGGCUCACCAAGGCAACGACGGGUAGCGGGACUGACAGGUUGGCCCGCCACAUCGGGACUGAGACACUGCCCGGAGGCUCCACGGAGGGCUGCAGUAACGGAUAUUGGGCAAUGGGCGAAAGCCUGACCCAGCAAUGCCGCGUGCAGGAUGAAGCCCCUAGGGGUGUAAACUGCUGUCAGGGGUCAGACAGCUGGUUUCGGCCAGUUGAUCAAGCCCAGAGGAAGUCACGGCUAACUUCGUGCCAGCAGCCGCGGUCCUACGAACCGUGGCACGCGUUAUUCGGACUCAUCGGGCUUACCGCGCGCACGCAGGCGGAACAGUGUGUGUCGUGUGAGAUCCCCCGGCUU
Molecule: ribosomal RNA, 519 nt
Filed under: uncultured organism
Description: bacterial SSU rRNA
Rfam family: Bacterial small subunit ribosomal RNA
Source: RNAcentral